AGCUCCAAUAGCGUAUAUUAAAGUUGUUGCAGUUAAAAAGCUCGUAGUUGGAUUUCUGGUAGAGUGACUCCGGCCAGCAUGCUUGCUUGGUCAGGGGCGCCCUGCCAUCCUUCGGUUAACCUUCAGGGUGUUCAUUCAUCUUGGAGCGGCUCCGAUAUUUUACCUUGAGAAAAUUAGAGUGUUUCAGGCAGGCUAUAGCCGGAAUACAUUAGCAUGGAAUAAUAGAAAAGGACUACUACCUCUUCUGUUGGUCUGGGAGGUCGCAGUAAUGAUUAAUAGGGAUAGUUGGGGGCAUUAGUACUUAACUGUCAGAGGUGAAAUUCUCCGAUUUGUUAAAGACUAACUUAUGCGAAAGCAUUUGCCAAGGAUGUUUUCA
This 376-nucleotide ribosomal RNA is filed under the name uncultured eukaryote. Its description in RNAcentral is "SSU rRNA". It matches the Rfam family "Eukaryotic small subunit ribosomal RNA", at positions 587 to 972 of the family's 1831-position model. The record is from RNAcentral.